Non-coding RNA from Vicia faba (fava bean), 270 nucleotides. NCBI's taxonomy places the organism in Eukaryota, Viridiplantae, Streptophyta, Magnoliopsida, Fabales, Fabaceae. The record is from the annotation of a GenBank genome assembly.
AUGAAUACAAUUAUUUACAUUAAGAAAAAAACUCACCAAGAGGGAAAAUCCUCAGAAACUCUUCCUUCACUCUCUUUCUCGGUACAAACCUUCAAUUCUUCAUCUUCACUCUCAUCUUCAUGGACCAACCUUCAUCUUUCCCUGCUCUCAUCUCACUCUCCCCUUCGUAAUCAUUCUUCUUCCUUCUCUAUAAUAACUACAUCACACACCUUCAAACACCUUCUAACAACCUUCAUACUCACCACUAAACCUUCACAUUCUAAACUUUGA